This 253-nucleotide ribosomal RNA is filed under the name uncultured bacterium. Its description in RNAcentral is "partial 16S ribosomal RNA". It matches the Rfam family "Bacterial small subunit ribosomal RNA", at positions 524 to 776 of the family's 1533-position model. The record is from RNAcentral.
UACGGAGGAUCCAAGCGUUAUCCGGAUUCAUUGGGUUUAAAGGGUGCGUAGGCGGAAUGAUAAGUCAGUGGUGAAAUCCUUCAGCUUAACUGGAGAACUGCCAUUGAUACUGUCAAUCUUGAGUACAUUUGAUGUGGGCGGAAUGUGUCAUGUAGCGGUGAAAUGCUUAGAUAUGACACAGAACACCGAUUGCGAAGGCAGCUCACAAAACUGUAACUGACGCUGAGGCUCGAAAGUGCGGGGAUCAAACAGG